UUGAAUGGGCAUAGACUGUCCUAGUAGGACAUCAAUUCUAGCCAAAGUUGCCCACGGGAACCACCCACCACUGCUUGCUUUGCUUGAAAGAAAACAAGGGCUGGGAGACAGCUGCCUCUGAUUUUACUUCUUGCCUUAGAAAGGUUCCAGCUAAUUUUGUGUAACAUAGUUGUGCCGGCUCUUCCAUGAAAAUUUUGGCUUUUUCUUUGAAGAAUCCUCAGUCCUUCAGAAAUAUUAAUUUCUAAACUGACUGUUCUGCAUAUACUUUCCCCUCUUUUUUGGUUAUUUAAUUCCUGUUAUAAAACUCAAGGGCUGCUACUGGUCUUACAUUUAAUUUAGUGCAUUUUAUUUUAUGAGAUUUCUGUGGCUUCUUGUUACAGGACUUUGUAUGAGAUUUUGUGGAGAGGUCCUGGUUAACUUUAAAGAACUCCUUGGGUUAGUUGGCUGAGAACCAUUGGCUUUGGUUGGCUGCUGAGACUUGUGGGAGGACCAUUUGAAAGCGCCUACUUCUCCAAGGUACAUGCCGAACCACUUGCUGUCAGGACAAGCAAGCAUGCUGUUCUCCUAGAACACACUGCACUUGACUUGAUGAGGCAGGAAGACUGAGAUGACAACUAUACUUGAAUUCAUGCCAUUCCCACUGGUCACCAGUGACCACACCCUCCUAGAUGGAGUCUCGCACUGUCGCACAGGCUGGUGUGCAGUGGCACAAUCUCAGUUCGCUGCAACCUCCGCCUCCCGGGUUCAAGUGAUUCUCCUUCCUCAGACUCCUGAUUAGCUAGGAUUACAGGCACCUGCCACCACGCCCGGCUAAUUUUUUGUAUUUUGAGUAGAAACGGGGUUUCACUAUGUUGGCCAGGCUGGUGAUGAAUUCCUGACCUCAUGAUCUGCCUGCCUCGGCCUCCCAAAGUGCUGGGAUUACAGGCGUGAGUCAUGGUGCCCUGCCUGAUGUGUGCCUUUGUAGGUGCUCUGUGUAGUUGCUAAACCAGCUUGCUAUUUCCCAGGUCCUCCUUUCUAGGUUGGCUUUCCUCUUGCCUUAGGAACCACUCUGUUUUAGAAACACGGCAGAAUUAAGAACAAAAUGAAAUUAGAAUUAACAUAGAAAAAAGGUCAAAUAAUGAGAAGUCUUCUGUACUAAUUACCUGAAAGGUCACUUUGCUGAGCCUCCAUUUCAUUUAUGUAAAGAAGGAAUAUAAUAAUGUCUACCUUUACCUAGUUCACAGCUUUAUGGUAAAGUUCUUAUGAUGUUAUUAUAGGGAACAUGUCUUUCAAUUGUAAAGUGCUUGCUUGGAAGAUAUAUAUAUAUAUAUAUAUAUAUAUUUUUGAGAUGGACUCUCACACUAUUGCCCAGGUUGGAGUGCAGUGGCGCGAUCUCAGCUCACCAAAACUUCUACCUCCCGGGUUCAAGCGAUUCUCCUGCCUCAGCCUCCCUAGUAGCUGGGAUUACAAACGUGUGCUACCAUGCCUAGCUAAUUUUUUUUUUUUUAGUAGAGACAGUGUUUUGCCAUGUUGGCCAGGCUGUUCUCAAAUUCCUAGCCUCAAGUUAUCCACCCACCUCAGCCUCCCAAACUGCUGAGGUUACAGGUGUGAGCCACCAUGCCCAGCCUGAUAUUACUAUUAAAUAGCUAUGAGCUAGGCUUUCAGUAAAGUAUCCCCUGGAUGGCAAACCAGUAAGAAGAGCUUAUAAAUUUCACUUCUUCUGGGUUACAAUCUCUUAUCUUUCUGGAAUGGUAAAGCACAAUGGUUGAAAUUAGACCCCUUUAAAAAAAAAUCCAAUGCUGUACAUUGCUUUAUCAUAACAUGUAUCCCUGCGUGGCACUUCUCAAGAAUGGCAUGGCAGGGAGGGAUGUGAUAUCUUAAGCAUGUUUUCUCAUUAUGCACUUGAACACUGCGCAUUGGUUUAUACUUAGUUGUUAGCAUUUUCACUAAAAUAAUAAUUUCUCUGCUCCUUCCUCACCACCACUCCCCAGUUCCUCCUCUCCUCUCAUCUCUUAAUGAGGAGGCAUAAAUAGGACAGAAGAUGAGUAGUGAGGAAGGUGAUAACAAGGAGGAACACAUAUUUUAUGAAUUGGUGAGUCAAUUUUUUGAGAUUGUCAUGGCCUAUGAGAGUAAUGACCAAAUGGAAAUUCUUUGUUUUGUUUUGUUGGAGACAGGGUCUUGCUCUGUCACCCAGGCUGGAGUGCAAUGGCCCAAUCAUGGCUCACUGCAGCCUCAACUGCAGGGCUCAAGCGAUCUUCCCACCUCAGCCUCCUGAGUAGGCGGGACUACACGUAAGCACCCCGAUGCCAAGCUGAUUUUCUUUAUUUUUAGUAGAGAUGGGAUCUCGCUAUGUUACCCAGGCUGGUCUCAAACUCCUGAGCUCAGCACAGUCCUCAUGCCUUGGCCUCCCAAAGUGCUGGGAUUAUAGGCAUGAGCCACCAUGCCUGGCUGAAAUUGUUUUGAAAUAAUUUGUUCAUGAGCCUGUCUUCCCCAGUAAAUUAUAUGCACUUCUAUGGGGGAUGUGUCAUUUCUUGUACAUUUAAAUCUCCCCAGUAUUCAUUAGGAGAGUCUGGCACUUAAUAUGUGCUCAUUGGAUGGCUGUUGAACUGAACCUAAAUGGCAUUUGACAUGACUUGAUUUAGGACAUAACUUCGGAAAAUACUGCUCUGUGUUCAACAAGGACUAGCCAAAAUGUAAAACUGGAGAAAAUAACACUCUAGCCUUUUGAUAUCAUCCUCAGUGCCCCCAAACAACACAGAGUUGAUUCCUAUUGCUGAAUCACCUACAGAAACCUCACCUCUGUUAUUAUAACAAUAGUGACAACAUAUUUAUUGAAUAAUUACUAUGUGCCAGGUCCUGUCUAAGUGACUUAGAUGCAUUCAUUCACUUUAUCAUCAGAGGAGCAGCAACACUGUGUGCUCUUAUUAUUUUCAUUUUAUAUAUGUAGAAACUUAUAUAGAUGGAAACUUAUAUACCCUUCCCAAGGAGAUGGAUAUUACUUCCUCCAAAUCACAAAUCUAGUAUGUGACAGAGCAGAGAUCCAACCCAGAAAAUCUAACUUCUGCAUCCAUUUUCUUAAUCACUACACCAUCUUUCCUCUUUGCACUGAAUAGUUCUGCAGACAGCAGAUCCUUGAUGGGAAGUUGUGGUAAAAGGGGCAGUAGAGCCAGAUGGGCUCAAGGAACAGAAGAAAGGCAGUGCCCUGUGUCUGCCCUGGCUCCCUGUGGGGUGGGGCCAGUCUGAGUACUUCCCUCCCUGCGGCAUAUUUCUCAAUGUUGGUGACCAGACAUGGCUCUGCUCUAGCUCAAUGGAUUAGCACAGUGAUUUCAGUUAAAACCACCAGCACUACCAGCCAGGCUGGCUUUCCUUCCCCACACGCUCUUCUUCAAUUGAUGCAGACAUCAUUGAAAGAUGGCAUUAUGUGAAUAAUACAGAAUACAAACAAGAAACAUUACAGCAUCUGAUAAAAUAGAAAGGCUGGCUUCAACCAGACCAGCUGGAGCUCAGUGAUGAUUGCUGCCACUUAAUCCCUAGAGGUACAGAGUUUUGUAGAAUUAAGGAUCCUCCUGAAACUGUUGUUGAAACAAGUCUCUCAGUAGUCCAGACUUUCUGUAGCCACUUACUGAAAACAGGAAGGUAUUAUGAAAAGCCAUUGGAGGAAAGGGUGUCUGUGAAUGACUUCCAGCAGUGAAUGAAUGAUUAGUCAACCCUGGACAUAAAACUCUGCAUAUGCCCUGAGUUCUUUUUAUUGAUAGCCCAAUUCGUGUUCUAAUCUUGUAUGUGGAAACCUGGGGAAAUAGUGAAAGAUGCUCAUUAAAACCUUAGGCUUCUUCUUUGAAUGUGCUAUGAAAUAAGUGGAGUAUUUAGUCUACUUUCGUAGAAAUAAAUGGGCAAACAAAAGAAAGCAAUUCCAUUUCCAUAAUUUCCAUAUAGGAGAUCUCCAUUUUGUAAACAGGUUGCUUUUCUAAAGGUCUAGUGUAACUCUAUGAUGAUUGUUAUGAAUUCAGAAAAAGUUUUCCCGAGAAAGAAUAUUGCAAGUGUGUAGAUAAGAUCCCAGGCUAACACACUAAAGGUUACAUAGAUACUAAACUGCUAUAUAUCUGUAAUGGAAAAAAGUAUAAAAUAAU
Pongo pygmaeus (Bornean orangutan) is the source of this 4106-nucleotide long non-coding RNA. RefSeq lists it as uncharacterized. The transcript has 3 exons. NCBI's taxonomy places the organism in Eukaryota, Metazoa, Chordata, Mammalia, Primates, Hominidae. The record is from RefSeq and is a predicted model, not a curated record.